This 221-nucleotide long non-coding RNA is filed under the name Mytilus galloprovincialis (Mediterranean mussel). Lineage: Eukaryota; Metazoa; Mollusca; Bivalvia; Mytilida; Mytilidae. The record is from RNAcentral.
UUUCCAUUAUUUAGAUGAUGUUCACUAAUUAAAUAAAUCAAAGUUUGGUGACUAUGUUGACUGCAUCUUCAGUUUGGAUCAGAUUUAACCUGUCUUAAAAAUGUGUCAGGGACUUUCAAGACAAAUUGGCUCCUAGAACAGUCUCUAACAGAAGUAGUUCUAACCUGAUACAUAUUUGGAAGUUUUAUCUUUUAACAGAUUUGGAAGUUAUAUAACCCUAA